RNAcentral lists this ribosomal RNA (446 nucleotides) under uncultured soil bacterium. RNAcentral's name for it is "bacterial SSU rRNA". It matches the Rfam family "Bacterial small subunit ribosomal RNA", at positions 26 to 466 of the family's 1533-position model. The record is from RNAcentral.
AGAUUGGACGCUGGCGGCAGGCCUAACACAUGCAAGUCGAGCGGUAGAGAGGUGCUUGCAUCUCUUGAGAGCGGCGGACGGGUGAGUAAUGCCUAGGAAUCUGCCUAGUGGUGGGGGAUAACGUUCGGAAACGGACGCUAAUACCGCAUACGUCCUACGGGAGAAAGCGGGGGACCUUCGGGCCUCGCGCCAUUAGAUGAGCCUAGGUCGGAUUAGCUAGUUGGUGAGGUAAAGCUCACCAAGGCGACGAUCCUUAGCUGGUCUGAGAGGAUGAUCAGCCACACUGGGACUGAGACACGGCCCAGACCUCCGUACGGGAGCAGCAGUAGGGAAUAGUUGGACAAGUGGGCACAAGCCUAGACUCCAGCAAUCGCCGCGUGAGUGAGUGAAGGUCCGUUAGGUUAGUAAAGUCCUUACGUUUUACCCGAGUAGUGAAUAAGUGAACG